GUGUUUGCUUUGGCAGCACACAUGCUAAAAUUGGAACGACACAGAGAGGAUUAGCAUGGCCUCUAUGCAAGAAUGACACACAAGUUCAUAAAAUAUUCCUUGUUUAA
Molecule: small nuclear RNA, 107 nt
Organism: Arvicola amphibius (Eurasian water vole)
Lineage: Eukaryota; Metazoa; Chordata; Mammalia; Rodentia; Cricetidae
Source: RefSeq, a predicted model, not a curated record